This 259-nucleotide small RNA is filed under the name Vigna angularis var. angularis. RNAcentral's name for it is "Non-protein coding transcript". The record is from RNAcentral. Lineage: Eukaryota; Viridiplantae; Streptophyta; Magnoliopsida; Fabales; Fabaceae.
CUGAGUUCUUCAUCCAGUUUCUCUUUCUCUCUCUAAGUUCAGCUUCAUUUUCUUCUUCUUGCUUUGACUUCUCUCUACUUUUCCACCACUUCCCACCGUUGAAAUUUCAAAUAGGUAGUGUGCUUUCGUUCACGGAGUUGAGAGUUUUCCCUUCAUCCGAUUAGAUUUUCGUUUUGGACAGAUCCUAUUGAACUUGCUUCUGUGCAAGAGUACUGUUUUGGGGUUUCGUCUAAAGGUUGUUGUGCUUAUAACCACUAAG